Molecule: long non-coding RNA, 854 nt
Organism: Bubalus bubalis (water buffalo)
Lineage: Eukaryota; Metazoa; Chordata; Mammalia; Artiodactyla; Bovidae
Exons: 3
Source: RefSeq, a predicted model, not a curated record
ACUGGUUGGAUCUCUUGCAGUCCAAGGGACUCUCAAGAGUCUUCUUAAGCACCACAGCUCUAAAGCAUCAAUUCUUUGGAGCUCAGCCUUCUUUAUGAAAUGCAGUCAAAUCAGCGACCUGAGAAAAGUGAAGUUUGUGUAUUCUCACCAGUCCCCGACCUCUGUCCGACGUCUGACCGACCAGGACAAUUACGCUGAGCUGCUUUCAAAGGGCGCGGAGUUCCAGGGAGAUGUUUCUACCUCCGAGAACCAUCCUGUGGUCUCCCCGCUUCCUCCUCACACCCAGCCCAGGCAGAGAAGUGGGCAGAAGAUAGAGAAACUUGAACGAGGUCCAGAAGCAGUGGACCCCACGACAAAGGCGUUCUUCACCCAUCGGUGCGUCUAGCGGGUCCACCCCUGAGCCCAAGACUCCAGUGGCAAAUUCCAGGGGCCGGUGAGAGACAGUGUAGUUAGACGGUUGCCCCGCAGGGAGAGCAGGUCUCUCUGGACAGAGAAGAUGGCUUAGGGUUUCCACGUUGUUUCAGGGGUUCCUGUUUUAUUCCAUCUGGGCUUUGGUUUCCGAGCUUUCAUGCUUUUAGAUCCCAUGCAGGUGAGCAGCCAGAUGGGGGCUGGGAGUCCUGGCUUAGGAGAAGAGCCCGUCUGCAGAUCCCAGGGAGGCCCCCACCGCAGACCCUGGGGCGGCACCCACUGCAGACCCCGGGGCGAGCUCCAUCCACAGACCCCGGCGCAGCCCCUACCUCAGACCCUGGGGUGGACCCCACCGCAGACCCCGGGGAGGCCCCCACCACAGACCCUGGGGUGGGCUCCAUCCACAGACCCUGGGGCGGCUCCAUCCACAGACCUUGGGGAGGCCC